This 403-nucleotide ribosomal RNA is filed under the name uncultured bacterium. RNAcentral's name for it is "partial 16S ribosomal RNA". It matches the Rfam family "Bacterial small subunit ribosomal RNA", at positions 30 to 526 of the family's 1533-position model. The record is from RNAcentral.
AUUGAACGCUGGCGGCAGGCCUAACACAUGCAAGUCGAGCGAGCGGCGGACGGGUGAGUAAUGUAUGGGGACUGCCCGAUAGAGGGGGAUAACUACUGGAAACGGUCGCUAAUAACGCAUACUAUCGGAUAACCCAUAUGGGAUUAGCUAGUAGGUGAGUUAAUGGCUCACCUAGGCGACGAUCCAUAGCGGUGCUGAGAGGAUGAUCAGCAACACUGGGACUGAGACACGGCCCAGACUCUCUGGGAGGCAGCAGGGGGGAAUAUUGCAAAAGGGGCGAAAGCCUGAUGCAGCCAUGCCGCGUGUAUGAAGAAGGCCCUAGGGUUGUAAAGUACUUUCAGUCGGGAGGCGUUACCGACAGAAGAAGCACCGGCUAACUCCGUGCCAGCAGCCGCGGUAAUUC